GAUUGAGGGAGGGGGGGAGGAAACACAACGACACAGACUGACACAGAAAACGGAGCCUUAGUUUCCAUGCAGCUUAUUCAGUCUCAGCCACUUCAUUGCUGCUCUCCGUCAGUGUGUGGAUUCUUUGCUCGGUCUACCAGAGUGAGGCAAGACCACGGAGCUGACCUACAGGACAGGAACUGUGCAAAGAGGAAGUGAUUAAACACAGUUCGGCACUCACAACUGUAACAGAUCUCAGAGGUGCUUUGUCGAACACUUUAAAUAUCAAAUGCUGCCCCUCUGCGAUGCUGCCGACAGUUUAAGAAGGCAGCAUUAAACAUGGAUUAUAACAGGAUCCCACCCAAGCAGGGGCAGAAGAAGUGGCACGCUGUUUCCCCUCUGCAAUGUCUCCUUGCUGUUUCAGCGGUGAUGCAUCCAGACAGCUGUGCUCUGUGCUCCAUAUCUCCUGUCUGGCAGAGCUGCACUGCAGAGGAGCUCCAGACCUGAGCAGCUGAGACUCCGAGCUGGGGGAUUGGAUUGGAUGGAUGGAUGAAUGAAUGGCUGGAGAGAUGCCGAUUCCCUGUCCUGAACUACCUCUCUCACACACGCGCAGUCCUGUAAUGGCUGUCUCCCUGCAGCACAACUCUGUGUAGCUCAGAGCCCUUCGGUGAACAGGAGGGCUCCGGGAGCAGGUUGGGGUUUCUGAAUCGUCUGUCUGCUGCGUCUCCUCUCAAAGCAGUGUCGAGCCCCAUGCCUGCCUGCACCCGACUGCCCUGGAGACAGUAAGCAUCGCCGCCUUUCAAUACAGCAUGGGAUACAGGCUCCUGUGUGUGUCUGUGCGGCGCAUCACACACAAUGCAUGAUGCACACAAUACUGGAAAUGUGUAUGCAUGCAUGUGUGCAAGUGUGUAUGAUGUGCAGGCAUGUUUGCAUGCAUGUAUGUGUGUAUGUCUGCGUGUAUGUGUGUAAGCAUCGGAGUCAUGUCAAGCCUGCAUGCAUGUCUUUGCUGUCGCUGGUCCCUGCAAUAAGAAUGAAUGUGUUUUUCCUUGAAGCCAGUUUCCCUUGUAUAAGGUAUUGCUUUAAAUGUGUGAGAUUCCUUUCUGCAGAACGAUUAAACUAAAACACUUAAGGGGAGAACUAAGCAGAAAUCUAACUUCAGGAAUUUUAUAGUGCUUUCCUGCCACCAUGUCUCUGUAUAAACCCUAACCCUAACCCUAACCAUAAUAAUUACCCUAUCCCUAACCCUAACCCUAACC
Long non-coding RNA from Polyodon spathula (Mississippi paddlefish), 1235 nucleotides. RefSeq lists it as uncharacterized. The transcript has 3 exons. The record is from RefSeq and is a predicted model, not a curated record. Lineage: Eukaryota; Metazoa; Chordata; Actinopteri; Acipenseriformes; Polyodontidae.